Molecule: ribosomal RNA, 252 nt
Filed under: uncultured bacterium
Lineage: Bacteria
Description: partial 16S ribosomal RNA
Rfam family: Bacterial small subunit ribosomal RNA
Source: RNAcentral
UACAGAGGUCCCAAGCGUUGUUCGGAUUUACUGGGCGUAAAGGGUGCGUAGGUGGUUGGGUAAGUUUGAUGUGAAAUCUCCGGGCUAACCCGGAAAUGGCAUUGAAUACUAUUCGGCUAGAGGUUUGGAGGGGGGACUGGAAUUCUUGGUGUAGCAGUGAAAUGCGUAGAUAUCAAGAGGAACACCAGUGGCGAAGGCGAGUCCCUGGACAACACCUGACACUGAGGCACGAAAGCUAGGGGAGCAAACAGG